UAUGGUGAUUAUUGCGAGUGUGUCCACCUCUUCCCAUUCCGAACAGAGCAGUUAAGCCACUCAGCGCCGAUGGUACUACGGUAAUACGCGGGAGAGUAGGUCGUCGCCAGUU
Molecule: ribosomal RNA, 112 nt
Organism: Reichenbachiella faecimaris
Lineage: Bacteria; Pseudomonadati; Bacteroidota; Cytophagia; Cytophagales; Reichenbachiellaceae
Source: Rfam